CGAACGGGUGAGUAACGCGUGAGUAACCUGCCCUGGAGUGGGGGACAACAGUUGGAAACGACUGCUAAUACCGCAUAAGCCCACGGAUCCGCAUGGAUCUGCGGGAAAAGGAUUUAUUCGCUUCAGGAUGGACUCGCGUCCAAUUAGCUAGUUGGUGAGGUAACGGCCCACCAAGGCGACGAUUGGUAGCCGGACUGAGAGGAUGAACGGCCACAUUGGGACUGAGACACGGCCCAA
This 237-nucleotide ribosomal RNA is filed under the name uncultured bacterium. Its description in RNAcentral is "partial 16S ribosomal RNA". It matches the Rfam family "Bacterial small subunit ribosomal RNA", at positions 99 to 334 of the family's 1533-position model. The record is from RNAcentral.